RNAcentral lists this small RNA (1780 nucleotides) under Histoplasma capsulatum. RNAcentral's name for it is "hypothetical RNA". Lineage: Eukaryota; Fungi; Ascomycota; Eurotiomycetes; Onygenales; Ajellomycetaceae. RNAcentral also lists the same sequence under 1 other name. The record is from RNAcentral.
UGCGGAUUCCAACCAGAGAAGCGUCCAAAGAUUGGUUGUGGAAAGAUCGGGUUGAUGCUGUUGGGGGACUUUCCAAAUCGCAAAACCGGAAAGACAAAAAACAUCCACGAAAUAAGGACGCCGAAAAAAGUACCCAUGGCCCCGAUAUUAGGCCCUUUGGUUGGUUUGCCAUCCGGAUAGCGGCAAAUUCCACAAUUCGAUAUUCAAUGGACAUGGUCGCUUCAAGCUCAGGGUACCAAAAUCAGUUGGACCUUCACCUGAGCGGGAGCAGGGUGACAUCUAGUGUAAACCAUGGUCUAUUGUGGACCUCUGGGGUGCAGAUGAUUUCUUUCGACUUGUCGAAUCCGUUGGAGUGGAAUAUCCGGCGCUCCUGGUCCAUCAACAUUGACAGCGAAAACUUAGAACUUUUCUUAUUACGAGACCACAUUUUCCUCCUGAUAGAUCUAGUGAAUGACUGGACUUCGGGACCUCCCCCCGACUUUUAUACAUUUGUGCCUUUCCGUUACAACAUUGACUUUUGCUUCACGAACUUCAAGCUCUUUUUGAACGUCAACGAUUCAAACAUAAUAAAUAACCCAUCCGAUACUAAUGACAACUCUUUCCUCGUCAUACACAGCGAGCGCCUGACCUCCCACGUCAAUAUCCCUGUCGAGAAAUAUAAACCAAAAAGCAAUGCUGUAGGAUUCGAUGUUAAUUUGUCAAAUGGAUCAAUCGAAUUGAUGACACCAUUGUGGAACACGCAGCGCGCCUUUCUCCACGAUAACUCCGUUGCGACGCUCAAAAGGAUGGGCUUAACAGGUAGUUACAAGUAUAAUCUUGAAACCUCGUCAACCCUAACGGAUAGGUUAACACUCGAUAUAGUCGGUGUUUCGCCUAAGCUUUAUCUCUAUGGAUUUUUAAUACGGCACUUUUUAAAAAUAAAGGAGAACUACUUCGGCGAAUACCUUCAUUUCAAAACCUUGGAAGAAUAUCAAGGCUUACUCGCUACGGCUCACACGCCGGAAGAGAGUGGUGGCAUGAAUCCUUCACCGAAAACAAACGAUCUUGACAUCUUUAUCCAGGUUCACGCAGACAAUGGCAGCAUUUUUCUACCCGCCCAUAUCUAUGACCGUACAAAUUGUGUGAGAAUAGACACUGUAACUUUCGAUACCGAUUUGAGGUUUACAAAUUAUUACAUGGACAUGGAAACAUCAUUUGGCCCGGCGGAAUUUGUUAUAGAUUCAGCUCAACCCGAUGGUUCCCAUUUUUCCUCAAGUACUCAGUUAUUUCUGGAUGGUUUAUCUAUCUACGGUCAUCGCCUUUUCGGGCUGCCUCCUACCGAACCAACUUAUGUUUGCAAUUGGGAUUUUCAAGUUGGAUACAUUGUCGGAGAAUGCACUCCUUCGUUUCUAAAAUAUGCUGCAUCAGCAGUAAAUUUUCUGGCAUUUUCUUUCGACGAUGAGGAGAAUGCACUACCCCCACUCCACCCCAUCGAAAUCCAUGAUGUGACGUUUGUGCGAGCCAGAGUGAAUCGUAUACGGACUUGGGUCCUAGUCGAGGAUUCCGCCAUAUUGUUCAACUGUGGAGUUAUCAACCUUGACUUCAAUGAUUGGGCGGACAUGAACUUUUCUUCGCGGCUCAACCUAAAUUUGCCCGAUCUUAUUCUCGCUGUAGUAGAUCGAAACGCAGCUAUUCGACUGCGAGAGCCCUCGCGAGAGACGGUCAAGACCUAUGGAUAUUUCCAAACGUCACUAUUCUUCAGGAUGAUGGAACGCAAAUCGGACUUUUUCGUUUCCCGUGG